Molecule: unclassified non-coding RNA, 240 nt
Filed under: soil metagenome
Description: partial contains 5.8S ribosomal RNA, internal transcribed spacer 2, and large subunit ribosomal RNA
Source: RNAcentral
AACAUCGCGCACCUGCGGGAACCUGCGGAAGGAUCAUUACCGAGUCUUCGUACUCAAAACAACCCUUCUGUGGACCUGAAUAAAACCGUUGCCUCGGCAGGCGGCCCUACCUACGGGCCAGAUAGUUCGGCUGCCUCCAGGGAGGAAACCCUCCCUGAGGUGCUGGCGCCAGCCGCUGGCCCCAAACCAAAACUCUAGUAACUUUUACCUUCUGAGUUUUAAUGCAAGAAAUAAGUCAAA